RNAcentral lists this ribosomal RNA (463 nucleotides) under uncultured bacterium. Its description in RNAcentral is "partial 16S ribosomal RNA". It matches the Rfam family "Bacterial small subunit ribosomal RNA", at positions 28 to 507 of the family's 1533-position model. The record is from RNAcentral.
GAUGAACGCUGACAGAAUGCUUAACACAUGCAAGUCGAUGGGGAAGUGGUGCUUGCACCAUGGUAACCAUGGCGGACGGGUGAGUAACGCGUAAGGAACUUGCCUGCGGGACUGGGAUAACAGCAGGAAACUGCUGAUAAUACCGGAUAAGGUCAUUAAGCUGCAUAGCUUAGUGAUGAAAGGAGACGCCUGCGGAGAGCCUUGCGUCCUAUUAGCUAGUUGGAGGGGUAACGGCCCACCAAGGCGAAGAUAGGUAGCCGGCCUGAGAGGGUGGACGGCCACAAGGGGACUGAGAUACGGCCCUUACUCCUAUGGGAGGCAGCAGUGGGGAAUAUUGGACAAUGGGGGCAACCCUGAUCCAGCAAUUCUGUGUGCACGAAGACGGUUUUCGGAUUGUAAAGUGCUUUCAGCAGGGAAGAAGGAAGUGACGGUACCUGCAGAAGAAGCGACGGCUAAAUACGUG